This is a long non-coding RNA of Eupeodes corollae, 433 nucleotides long. RefSeq lists it as uncharacterized. The transcript has 3 exons. The record is from RefSeq and is a predicted model, not a curated record. Lineage: Eukaryota; Metazoa; Arthropoda; Insecta; Diptera; Syrphidae.
AUUCAUAUAAAAGCCAAGCUUUUGAUUUUGGAAAAUUACAGUUAAUCAAAUUCUCUACUUUGAUAGACAAGCUAAAACAAUCCUUAAAACAAAAUGAAAUACUUCGCAAUUUUCGUAGCCCUCGUCAUGGCUUUUGCUUCUUUCAACACUUGCUCAGCAGUGUCUGAACCAGUUUGUUCCGUCACAUUACCCAAUGGAGAACUAUUGUUCAUUAAGGGAAACCAAGCAAAAACUUAUACAAAUGCCGAAGGUAAAUGCUUGGUUGCCAUCUGUGGACCAGAUUUCAAAGCCAUUUCUAUCCCAUGUCAAUGAUGGAAAUGCUAGUUUUCCUGAUGAAAUUUUGCAGAUUAAGUAGAAAAUUAUAUUUGAAAAAAAAACUUUACAAUUUGUAUGAAUAAAAUUUCUUCUAAUUAUUGCUGAUUGCAAAAGUAUA